UCGAACGGACCCUUCGGGGUCAGUGGCAGACGGGUGAGUAACGCGUGGGAAUCUACCCGGUUCUUCGGAAUAACCCAGGGAAACUUGGGCUAAUACCGGAUACGCCCUUAGGGGGAAAGAUUUAUCGGAAUUGGAUGAGCCCGCGUCGGAUUAGCUAGUUGGUGGGGUAAUGGCCUACCAAGGCGACGAUCCGUAGCUGGUCUGAGAGGAUGAUCAGCCACACUGGGACUGAGACACGGCCCAGACUCCUACGGGAGGCAGCAGUGGGGAAUAUUGGACAAUGGGCGCAAGCCUGAUCCAGCCAUGCCGCGUGAGUGAUGAAGGCCUUAGGGUUGUAAAGCUCUUUCAGCGGGGAAGAUAAUGACGGUACCCGCAGAAGAAGCCCCGGCUAACUUCGUGCCAGCAGCCGCGG
RNAcentral lists this ribosomal RNA (412 nucleotides) under uncultured bacterium. RNAcentral describes it as "bacterial SSU rRNA". It matches the Rfam family "Bacterial small subunit ribosomal RNA", at positions 62 to 520 of the family's 1533-position model. The record is from RNAcentral.